RNAcentral lists this ribosomal RNA (253 nucleotides) under uncultured bacterium. RNAcentral describes it as "partial 16S ribosomal RNA". It matches the Rfam family "Bacterial small subunit ribosomal RNA", at positions 524 to 776 of the family's 1533-position model. The record is from RNAcentral.
UACGGAGGGGGCUAGCGUUGUUCGGAAUUACUGGGCGUAAAGCGCGCGCAGGCGGCUCUUCAAGUCAGGGGUGAAAGCCCAGAGCUCAACUCUGGAACUGCCUUUGAGACUGAAGAGCUUGAGUACGGGAGAGGUGAGUGGAAUUCCCAGUGUAGAGGUGAAAUUCGUAGAUAUUGGGAAGAACACCGGUGGCGAAGGCGGCUCACUGGCCCGUUACUGACGCUCAGGCGCGACAGCGUGGAGAUCAAACAGG